GACGAACGCUGGCGGCGUGCUUAACACAUGCAAGUCGAACGGAAAGGCCCUGCUUUUGUGGGGUGCUCGAGUGGCGAACGGGUGAGUAACACGUGAGUAACCUGCCCUUGACUUUGGGAUAACUUCAGGAAACUGGGGCUAAUACCGGAUAGGAGCUCCUGCUGCAUGGUGGGGGUUGGAAAGUUUCGGCGGUUGGGGAUGGACUCGCGGCUUAUCAGCUUGUUGGUGGGGUAGUGGCUUACCAAGGCUUUGACGGGUAGCCGGCCUGAGAGGGUGACCGGCCACAUGGGAACUGGGAUACGGCCCAGACCCCUAGGGGGGGCAGCAGGGGGAAUAUUGCACAAUGGGCGGAAGCCUGAUGCAGCAACGCCGCGUGCGGGAUGACGGCCUUCGGGUUGUAAACCGCUUUCGCCUGUGACGAAGCGUGAGUGACGGUAAUGGGUAAAGAAGCACCGGCUAACUACGUG
This 467-nucleotide ribosomal RNA is filed under the name uncultured bacterium. Its description in RNAcentral is "partial 16S ribosomal RNA". It matches the Rfam family "Bacterial small subunit ribosomal RNA", at positions 28 to 507 of the family's 1533-position model. The record is from RNAcentral.